Molecule: small nucleolar RNA, 133 nt
Organism: Diachasma alloeum
Lineage: Eukaryota; Metazoa; Arthropoda; Insecta; Hymenoptera; Braconidae
Source: RefSeq, a predicted model, not a curated record
CCAAAGUCUUGAGUACAGAGUGUAGACUUUGAUACAUUCUGUUAAUUAAACUUUGGAAAAUUGAAAUAACCACAGCUACACUAAUUAUUCACUAAUUAAUUCAUUGUGAAUGAGAGAUAGCAGUGAUUAACAU